Molecule: non-coding RNA, 516 nt
Organism: Canis lupus familiaris (dog)
Lineage: Eukaryota; Metazoa; Chordata; Mammalia; Carnivora; Canidae
Source: the annotation of a RefSeq genome assembly
UCUAGUGGAACAGAUUGAGUGUAAGAACAGAGUUUCUCUGGACCCAGACUCUACACUCUGUAGAGUAGGGGUGAAGGCACCUCAUUGACUAGACAAGGAAUCAUGAAGAGAAUCUGGGAUGCUCUGCUGGGGCUCCUGUGGGUCCAUGUUUGCUUAGUGACAGGGAUGAAGGUGGAGCAGAGCCCUUCAGCCCUGAGCCUGCAGGAGGGAGCCAGCUCUAUUCUCAAGUGUAAUUACUCUAGCGCAGUGAGAAGUGUGCAGUGGUUCCGACAGAAUCCCGGGGGCGGCAGCCUCACCAGGCUGUUUUACAUAGCUUCAGGGAUGAAGCAGAGCGGGAGGCUAAACUGCACACUGAAUGCUAAGGAACGGUUCAGCACCCUCCACGUCGCGGCCUCUCAGCUGGAAGACUCAGCCACCUACCUGUGUGCGGUGGAGGCACAGUGCUCCCUGAACAUUGGUAGGAAGGACUGGGACUGUGAAAAAUCAGAUGGAGUUAGCUGGACAGACUCGCAGUAG